RNAcentral lists this ribosomal RNA (440 nucleotides) under uncultured bacterium. Its description in RNAcentral is "partial 16S ribosomal RNA". It matches the Rfam family "Bacterial small subunit ribosomal RNA", at positions 338 to 795 of the family's 1533-position model. The record is from RNAcentral.
CCUACGGGAGGCAGCAGUGGGGAAUAUUGCACAAUGGGGGAAACCCUGAUGCAGCGACGCCGCGUGAGUGAAGAAGUAUUUCGGUAUGUAAAGCUCUAUCAGCAGGGAAGAAAAUGACGGUACCUGAUUAAGAAGACCAGGCUAACUACGUGCCAGCAGCCGCGGUAAGACGUAGGGGGCAAGCGUUAUUCGGAUUUACUGGGUGUAAAGGGAGCGUAGACGGCAGCACAAGUCUGGAGUGAAAGGGCGGGGCUUAACCCCGGAACUGCUUUGGAAACUGUGCAGAUAGAGUGCAGGAGAGGUAAGUGGAAUUCCUAGUGUAGCGGUGAAAUGCGUAGAUAUUAGGAGGAACCCCAGUGGCGAAGGCGGCUUACUGGACUGUAACUGACGUUGAGGCUCGAAAGCGUGGGGAGCAAACAGGAUUAGAUACCCUAGUAGUC